Molecule: transfer RNA, 74 nt
Filed under: bacterium
Lineage: Bacteria
Also listed under: 1 other name
Description: tRNA-Glu
Rfam family: tRNA
About the family: Transfer RNA (tRNA) molecules are approximately 80 nucleotides in length.
Source: RNAcentral
GGUCCCAUCGUCUAGAGGCCUAGGACAUCAGAUUCUCAUUCUGAAGAUCGGGGGUUCGAAUCCCCCUGGGACCG